Molecule: transfer RNA, 76 nt
Filed under: Nannocystis exedens
Lineage: Bacteria; Pseudomonadati; Myxococcota; Nannocystales; Nannocystaceae
Description: tRNA_Ala_GGC
Rfam family: tRNA
About the family: Transfer RNA (tRNA) molecules are approximately 80 nucleotides in length. Their secondary structure includes four short double-helical elements and three loops (D, anti-codon, and T loops). Further hydrogen bonds mediate the characteristic L-shaped molecular structure. tRNAs have two regions of fundamental functional importance: the anti-codon, which is responsible for specific mRNA codon recognition, and the 3' end, to which the tRNAs corresponding amino acid is attached (by aminoacyl-tRNA synthetases). tRNAs cope with the degeneracy of the genetic code in two manners: having more than one tRNA (with a specific anti-codon) for a particular amino acid; and 'wobble' base-pairing, i.e. permitting non-standard base-pairing at the 3rd anti-codon position.
Source: RNAcentral
GGGGGCGUAGCUCAGCUGGGAGAGCAUUGCGCUGGCAGCGCAAAGGUCAGGGGUUCGAACCCCCUCGCCUCCACCG